CUCAUAGUGGGGGAUAACAGUCGGAAACGACUGCUAAUACCGCAUAGGACAUAGGAUCACAUGAUCCAGUGAGGAAAAGGUGGCGCAAGCUAUCGCUAAGAGAUGGACCCGCGGUGCAUUAGCUAGUUGGUAGGGUAAAGGCCUACCAAGGCGAUGAUGCAUAGCCGACCUGAGAGGGUGAUCGGCCACAUUGGGACUGAGACACGGCCCAAACUCCUACGGGAGGCAGCAGUAGGGAAUCUUCCGCAAUGGACGCAAGUCUGACGGAGCAACGCCGCGUGAGUGAAGAAGGUCUUCGGAUCGUAAAGCUCUGUUGUUAGAGAAGAACAGCGCAUAGAGUAACUGUUAUGCGUGUGACGUAUCUAACCA
This 369-nucleotide ribosomal RNA is filed under the name Abiotrophia defectiva. RNAcentral describes it as "bacterial SSU rRNA". It matches the Rfam family "Bacterial small subunit ribosomal RNA", at positions 130 to 485 of the family's 1533-position model. The record is from RNAcentral. Lineage: Bacteria; Bacillati; Bacillota; Bacilli; Lactobacillales; Aerococcaceae.